RNAcentral lists this ribosomal RNA (62 nucleotides) under Glandirana rugosa (Japanese wrinkled frog). RNAcentral's name for it is "partial 16S ribosomal RNA". Lineage: Eukaryota; Metazoa; Chordata; Amphibia; Anura; Ranidae. The record is from RNAcentral.
GCCUAACAUCUAGCCCAUAUCAUUCGCAUGACUUCCUUAAUCCCCCACCCUUAAACAAAACA